This 390-nucleotide long non-coding RNA is filed under the name Equus caballus (horse). RNAcentral describes it as "lncRNA (ENSECAG00000049716.1)". Lineage: Eukaryota; Metazoa; Chordata; Mammalia; Perissodactyla; Equidae. The record is from RNAcentral.
GAACAGGAAGUCUUUGCCUGGAUGUUGAAGGCAGGCCCAUGUCCUUGGAAGCUGGGGAGGAACCUUCCCCUGGGACGGGCCCAGAACACCCCUGAAUUUCUGACUCAGAUGAUCCGUGAAGACUUGUGAGUGAUGGAGCACCAACCAGACAUGAGGAGGCUGCCAUCCCGAUGGCUGGAUCACAUGGCUCUCCCCCCGCCUCGAGCAGGCAUCUCGUCUCCGCAGGUGGACUGUGCGCAGCCGGGCGGGGCUGGGCCUCUCCGCACACAUCUGCGUGUCCCUCAGUGCCAAGCGCAGCUUCCCUCACCACUCAGAGCCAAGCACUCAGUAAGCAGCUGCGUGAUGUGAGAAGCCCCAACCUCCUCACACAACCUCUUGAUGUCUGAGCAG